GCACUGAUGGGGGCGUAGCUCAGCUGGGAGAGCACCUGCUUUGCAAGCAGGGGGUCGUCGGUUCGAUCCCGUCCGCCUCCACCA
RNAcentral lists this transfer RNA (84 nucleotides) under Komagataeibacter oboediens. Its description in RNAcentral is "tRNA-Ala". The stretch from base 9 to 81 matches the Rfam family "tRNA". From Rfam's summary of the family: Transfer RNA (tRNA) molecules are approximately 80 nucleotides in length. Their secondary structure includes four short double-helical elements and three loops (D, anti-codon, and T loops). Further hydrogen bonds mediate the characteristic L-shaped molecular structure. tRNAs have two regions of fundamental functional importance: the anti-codon, which is responsible for specific mRNA codon recognition, and the 3' end, to which the tRNAs corresponding amino acid is attached (by aminoacyl-tRNA synthetases). tRNAs cope with the degeneracy of the genetic code in two manners: having more than one tRNA (with a specific anti-codon) for a particular amino acid; and 'wobble' base-pairing, i.e. permitting non-standard base-pairing at the 3rd anti-codon position. The record is from RNAcentral. Lineage: Bacteria; Pseudomonadati; Pseudomonadota; Alphaproteobacteria; Acetobacterales; Acetobacteraceae.